UGUGUGUUGAAAUGCCCGCCCCUCUUCUUUAAAAAGACAUAAUAUGUCAGUGACUGCAUUUCAUCAGACCAGGAUCUGUGCUAAACGUGCAAAAAUGAAAACUUUGGCUCUGGUGCUGGUAUUUUGUGCCUUUUUCUCCUUAAGUGAUUCUGCUUGUUUCUUUCAACGUUUAAAACCGGGGGAAAAAUAUUGUGUUGAUGGUUAUGAUAACUCCAAGCAUCCAAUUGGAAGUACUUGGACGAACGGCGCAUGUAUCAGAUGUAUCUGCUCCCCUGGCCAAAUGGAGUGCUGUUACAAGUAAGACACUUAACAACCCAACUAAUGUUGAAA
Labeo rohita (rohu) is the source of this 330-nucleotide long non-coding RNA. RefSeq lists it as uncharacterized. Lineage: Eukaryota; Metazoa; Chordata; Actinopteri; Cypriniformes; Cyprinidae. The record is from RefSeq and is a predicted model, not a curated record. The transcript has 3 exons.